Molecule: ribosomal RNA, 450 nt
Filed under: Kiekie verbena
Lineage: Eukaryota; Metazoa; Arthropoda; Arachnida; Araneae; Ctenidae
Description: partial large subunit ribosomal RNA
Source: RNAcentral
UUUCUAUUAGAUAUAAUUAAUAGUAUAAUCUGCUCAAUGAAUAUUAAUAAAUAGUCGCAAUACGUGCUAAGGUAGUGUAAUAACUUGUCUUUUAAUUAAAGACCAAAUGAAAGAUUUAACAUUUUAACAAAUAUAAUAUUUAAUUUAUUGAAAUUAUUUUAAUUUUUAAAAAAAUAAUUUUUAAAUAAAAAGACGACAAGACCCUAUCGAACUUAACUUUAGUUUAACUGGGGUAGUUAGUUAAUUAAAACUUAAAAAAUAAUUUUUAUCAAUAAAGACCUAUUAAAAUUAAUUUUAAGAUCNAAGUUACCGUAGGGAUAACAGUGUAAUUAAAUUUUUAAGAACUUAUUUUAAUAGUAGAUUACAACCUCGAUGUUGAAUUAAUAAUCUAAUUUACGUAAUAGUAAAGAAAGAAAGUCUGUUCGACUUUUAAAUAAUUACAUGAUCUGA